GACGAACGCUGGCGGCGUGCUUAACACAUGCAAGUCGAACGGAAAGGCCCUGCUUGCAGGGUGCUCGAGUGGCGAACGGGUGAGUAACACGUGGGUGAUCUGCCCCUUACUUUGGGAUAAGCCCGGGAAACUGGGUCUAAUACUGGAUAGGACCAUGCUGUAGGUGGUGUGGUGGAAAGAUUAGUUUCGGUAAGGGAUGAGCUCGCGGCCUAUCAGCUUGUUGGUGGGGUAAUGGCCUACCAAGGCGUCGACGGGUAGCCGGCCUGAGAGGGUGGACGGCCACAUUGGGACUGAGAUACGGCCCAGACUCCUACGGGAGGCAGCAGUGGGGUAUAUUGCACAAUGGGCGCAAGCCUGAUGCAGCGACGCCGCGUGGGGGAUGACGGCCUUCGGGUUGUAAACUCCUUUCAGCCAUGACGAAGCCCUUGUGGUGACGGUAGUGGUAGAAGAAGCACCGGCUAACUACGUG
This 469-nucleotide ribosomal RNA is filed under the name uncultured bacterium. Its description in RNAcentral is "partial 16S ribosomal RNA". It matches the Rfam family "Bacterial small subunit ribosomal RNA", at positions 28 to 507 of the family's 1533-position model. The record is from RNAcentral.